Long non-coding RNA from Neopelma chrysocephalum (saffron-crested tyrant-manakin), 5636 nucleotides. RefSeq lists it as uncharacterized. Lineage: Eukaryota; Metazoa; Chordata; Aves; Passeriformes; Pipridae. The transcript is spliced from 2 exons. The record is from RefSeq and is a predicted model, not a curated record.
AACUCUCCAAACUGACGUGCUGGAAAAGAUAAAUUUUAUAGCGACCUGUGCCGCCUUACCCAAAAGGUUCCCGCAGAUAAGAUCAUUAAAUUUUAUACCGACUCCUAAAAGUACAGUCAUAUCAUGCUUCUGGCUGGCCAAAUGCAGAAAAUGACUGGCAACAGUGCAAAAAAUUCUGCAUGAAACUAUCAGGAUAGCUUGCUCACCUGGACUCUCUGAGAAUGUGCUUGCCAGUGCUUUUUUUACCAAUAUUAUCUCUCUUUACUAGUUUGUCAUCUUAGCUUUCUGACCCACCUAUUUUGCUCAAUUUUAAUGAAGAAUUUUAAAUUCAGGUGAAAGUGGUGCGUUCAUCCUAUGAGCUGGUACAACUGUGCAGCUGUUUUCUAUAUAGAUGUGUGAGUCUAGGCUGCCAGCUGAUUCUGAUACACAACUUUCUGACUAUAAGUAGCUGACUAGUCUCUGAAGUUCUUAGACACUUAUCUUAAUUUCUGCUUAAAACAUAACAAACAGCAGAACUAAAUUGAUUUAGAUUUCAUCCAAGGUAGAAGUUUACCUCCAAAGUUUGCAUAUUUAUUUUACGAGGUAAGUUAAACUCUAGGCUUCAGGAUGCAAUAAUCUCUAGUCUGUCAUUCCACCUAUUUUUCCAGGUGUGGAAUAUUGACCUCUGCCAUUAACAAAGAAGGUAGUGGUGGCUGUAGUAUGUCAGUGGUUUGGCUAAUCUAGUAGUGCCAGUUUAUUUUCUUAGGCAAGUACGGAUGUAGCGUGGUAUAGAUAUGAGGAAUGUACUUAACAGAAACAUGUUUCUAGUUGCUUCUGUUGCAACACUGUGAUGCUGACAUUAUCUUUCUUUUAUUCCCUGAACUAAAAUACCUUACCACUUUAAAUCUUUGUGUUUGGUUUAGAUGGUUUUUUUUCGGUUGUUUGUUGUUUUUUUUUUACAACUUUCUACUUUUGAGAUUCUAAUACGAAGUUCUUGUUUCCCCUUCAGCAAAUAAAGUUGUAUCCUCUAUAUAAUGUUUUAAGUGGGUAAUUUUUGCAAUAUCCUUAGAAACUUAUUUCGAGAUAUUGACUUUCCAGUUUUCCAGACUAAUGUCCUUAAUAAAAAAAAAUAAUUAGCAAUAGUAAUAAGAGAAUUCCUCAACAAUGUAUUUGAGAUUAAACUACAGGUAAAGUUGAUAUUUGUGCUGCAGUAGUCCUUUCAUAAGGCAUUUGGAUUUUCAGUGUGCCUAUAUAACAAAAUUUCAUUGUGUGUGUAUGUAAGCAAAAAUUCUUCCCAUAUAAAGCGAAUCCAGCACAGUCUUUUUUCCCCCUUAUUUUUGUUGCCUUUUUAAAUUUAUAAACUAGUGUAUUGACAUUACAAAAUACACUUGCAGUAUUGCAGAAUACUAGAACCUGAUAGUUAAAAAGCUCAAAGAACCUUAAACCUUUGCAGUGGCAGUCGGACAAACCCCUGUGCAAACAGAUAAGCCUGGGUCUGAGGGUCAACAAACUCUUGUUUUGUCAAAUUUGUUAAGUUAGCAAGUUGCAGAGAAGGUUUACCUUUUGUUAAAAACUCUAUUUUGCUUUUUGCUGCAUUCUCUUAAAUAUAAAUGAUGCCUAAAUUGAUAGCUGUGUGCAGCCCCAGGCUUAAAGUCCUUGUCAAAGGGUUUUGGUUGGAAGCUCUUUACUGGAGGGAAGAGUCUUUAUAUUUCCACUCAAACAGGCUUUAGGUUUCAGUCCUAGUCCUUAGCAGGUGUUAGUGGGUUUGAGAAACUAAUGCUGCGGUUAGCCAGGGAUAGGACCACCGCUGACAAGCACUGUGGCUAAAUAGGCAGGUACAAUCCCAACUCCAGAACAUUUAAAAUGAGAAAGGCUUCUCUUUUUAGUUUAUUGUGAGACUGGUGUAUCUAGUGGUGUCACGGUUCUCUUUUGAUUUAGGCAUUCAGUAUUCUUGCAGGUGUGUAACUGAUGAAUGUAAUGUUUGUGCUAGGGGAAGUGAGGGAAAUUGCUGGUAGACUCAAUCACUGCCCCAUUUUUUCUUCCCUCCUUCUAAACUGUAUGGAAAUGCUUUCCUUCAGCUGGAUACUGAAGUCAAGCAACCCUAACAAAUGCAGUGAGAGAGCACCUCAAUAAUAUCUGGUUGUGGAAGAUAACUCUGUUUAGUAUUCAAAGCUUCUGUGUCCGUUAUGUGCCAGCCACAGUGCCAUGGUAGGAGCUUGGGUGGCACCACCUUAUUUAUUUGGCAAAAUGAUAAGGGCUGCAGUGGGGGCUUAGUCAGUUUAUCUUCUUCAAACCCGACAAGCAAUUGUCAUCAGCAGAGUUGUGCAGGCUGGAGGAAGAAGAAAGGAAUGGAAGUCCUUAAACAGGGGUGGCUGUUGUAGCCUCAGCAUCAUGAAACUCUGUUUUACAGACAUGUAACAGAUGCAUACAGAUAUUAAACACACUGAAGCUUUUCACAAAAUUGUCUCUAAAUACACUGAGAUGGCAUUUCAUUAUAGUUGAUACACAAAUAAACCCCAGUGCAGAUAUUUUUGCUGACUCAAUUGAUUUAAAAAAAAAUCGUUGAAUGUAUCACUUCAUAAAUAAAUGUAUUUUCUUACAAGAUAUGGUAUUCUUGCUUCUCUAAAGACUAUUUAUUUUAACUCUACCCUUAAAGUACUUCUUAUUCUCAAACUGGAGAAACUAGAGUUGUAGAUGGCAUUCUUUUACAUACAUCUCUCCUGGUGAAAGAAGUUGGGGCACCCACCCAUUCCCAUGAGCUUCCUUGCUUCUUCCUGUCAGAUUCAGUGUCUGAAAUGAAUAUUUUCUUGAUCCAAGAGGAAGGGAUUUGAAGUCCUUCCUGCCACAUGUGAAUUUGAAGGCUUCCUACCCACAGCCUUAUUUAGCUACUGAAGCUGGGUUGUUUCAGAAAUAUCAACUUAAAGUGAAUGCCAUUUAGCUUUUGCAGAGGGAAAUAUGGCUUGACUACCAAGGGACAUUGCCUGCUGUAUGGGAAAAGCUAUGGUAUUGGUAUGAGGGCCAUGUGUUUGUAACUAAAUAAACAAAACUAGUAUCUUGGACUGAAAUUUAAUCUUGGAAGUUAGGAAAAGGUAGCAGAUGUUUCCUUGGAGAAUUCAUGCAAGGAUGGGUUUGAGUCUCUAUUUCACACAAAGUGGGUAAUGAAACCAUUUUUUUUAAUCAAGUAAAUAAUUGAAAGAAUCAAGAACAAACCUGGAAACUUAUAUAUCAGGAAUGCACAAUUCAGCACCUGGCUGUAAAAUGCCCCUCUUAUCUUCCCUUCAGCAUCCUCCAAAUCUUGUACUGCAGUUGUCUCAGAUGAGACAUGACCUGAUUGCAUCUCAUGUAACCUGGUUUGAGUUCAGCUCAGCUGAUGUGGAGGCCAGGAGCUGCAUCACCCUCUCUGGAGUAGAUGGUUAUGGUGUUCACAGAUCCCUACUCAUGGAAUGAACAAGCUCAGGUCAUAAACUGAUGUUACAUCAGCUGAAGGCAGUGGGGAUUAGGGGACAUGCUGGGAUGUGAAUUGUCUCUUCGCACUGCCCAACUGCUGAGCAGUGCUUCGCAACUGGAGUGGUUGUGAUCUGCCUGUGUCAGUGGAGGCAGCUGUUUCCCUCCCUCCCCACUCAGUUACAUUGUCAUGAGCAAGGGGAGGCUGGAGAAACAGAUUUUAUCAGAUUGAUUGAAUAAGAUAAAGAUUGUUUCUAAACUUCACGUUGUGUGUGUUUGUCAUGGUUUUAACCACAACAACACAGUGUUUUGUUUGUACAGGGAAUUGAGGAUGCAGCAAAUAUAGCCAUUUCUUACAUUGUUCAUUGCUCUGUAUCAGAAAAGCCCCCAAAUCCUUCAAUGCUUUUGUUUUGAGGUUUCCACUGUAUUGACCUUGCUAUAUACUGUGCACUUUUAUCACAAAGAUAUCUUUAUUAUAUUUAUCUUUAUUUUUAUUUAUCUUUGUGUAGAUGCUAAAAGCUUGAAAUAAAAAAAAAAGACUGUUGAGAAUAAUGACUUAACAAACUCACAUGUCCUUAGCUGCAGAUUUUGGUACUCAGCUUUUGGAGAUUUUUUGCCCAUUUUCAGAUUUAUUAGACCUUUGUUUCCAAAUCUCUGAUGGUUCCUUUUGGACUGCAUGUGGCUAAACCCAGAGCUAGCUCAAGGAAAGGUGUUUUCCUCUUGGCAAUAGUAGGCUGUGUGCCAGAGUAAGAAGAUAUUUCCUGUCUUCUGAUACUUACCACAGCAGUUCCCACCAUUAGGCAGUUGUUAAUGAAGAUUUUAGCAGAGGGUUUGUCUUAGAGCUUUUAAUGUGGAAGAGCCUAGAGUUGAGGGGAGACCAGGAGAAAAGGGAUCCCUGUAAACUUAAAACCAACUCUGGCAUUUUUAUUAUUUCUUUGUUGUUUUGGGCUUUGCUGGUACCCACUUUAUGUAAUAUCAUGUCAGUUGAAAUAUUUGUCCAGUAAGUUGGAAGCCUUGUGUUAAAAAGACUUUACUCUGCAAAAUGUGUUCCCAAAGGUAGGAGGUCAAACACACCCCACUGCUGAGCGCUUGCCAUUGGCUGGGUUUCAAUAAAUUGCAAGCUCAGCAUGUGGAGUUUUUUGAUCACUUUUGAGAUAUUGAUUCUUUUUGCACACUGUAUGAGGACUCUAGACCUUAAAUUUUGGCUUCUUCUCUGGGUAUUAAAAGGGCCUGAAGCACACAUCUACUUUAUUGGCACUUAAAUUGCUUAAGAAAGCUUACUUCUCGUAAACAUGGCUAGAAACUUAAUUUGUUGUAAUUAUUUAAAAAGGUAUGUAGAGCCCUUGUAAGUGCAUGAUUUGAACAGGAUCCUAGUUACAAAUAUACAUUAUUUACCAUCCUAGUCUGGCUCUGCAUACUUAUUCCCCUAAUUCCUCACAACUGUUUGCUUUUUGGUUAGAAGGUACAAAUUAAAAAUUCCUAUCACUGAGUUCUGAUGGGAAUAUACUGUAAAUGCAGCUCAGGAGCUCAGUCUGCCAUUACUCCUGAUCCUUAUUUUUGCUUAACGGAUGCUUCAACCAUUGAAAUAUGUUUGUAACCUAAGUAGAUUCUGAACCUUAUCCUUAAUUCAUGGUUAUUAGUUCAUCCAAGUUUCUGCUUACUAAAUUGAACUCUCAAAUCAGCCUUUGCAAGUUGAAGGCAGAUACUAACACUUAAACUUGGUUUUCAUCGUGUCCUGUCAUAUGUGUAUCUUUCCCAGCUAGAGCCUUGUGCUUGUGAAUUCCAAGAAACUCGCUCAAAGUUAAUUUCUUUUGUAGGCUAUUGAUUUCUGUAAAUUUCACUUUUAAACAGAAUUGUGUGGUGUCAGGGCUUUAAAUGUACAGGUUCUGUUGACUCUUCUUGAAUGAGACAUUUAUUUAAACUGUUACCAAAUAGCAGAAUUUGAUUAAAUUGCAUAAACCAAACAGAGCUUGUAAUCUUGAGGCAAGAGUUUGUUCUUAUGUCCUUCCUCUGUGUCCUCACUAUGUGAAAUUGUUUAAAUAACCUUCCAAACAGUUAUGAUAUAGAUGGGGGAAUUUAGUAGUAAUGUUAAUAAGAUAACUAACACAGUUUGACUCCUGUUAGCUUAGUGUUAUCUAAUAGAUAGAUGAGAUACAAUACUUCAGAUAUCUGAUUCCAUAGUUUACAGCCUUUUAUUGGUUGUCUGAAUAUGU